This 565-nucleotide long non-coding RNA is filed under the name Trifolium pratense (red clover). RNAcentral describes it as "long non-coding RNA (TPRA_LNC010679)". Lineage: Eukaryota; Viridiplantae; Streptophyta; Magnoliopsida; Fabales; Fabaceae. The record is from RNAcentral.
AAGCAGAUUGAAGAAGGACAUGUUCCCCUCCCUAAUUACACAAAUAAUCUUGGUUACACUUACAUCAUGGAUCAAGAUAAAAGGUUAAUCUUACUUCUAAUUAGUACUUUAAUUUAAUUUAAUCAACCACUUGUGUCAUUAGUACUUCAAUUUAUAUUAUAUCUUAUUUGAUUUCAUGUUAUUUAUGGCCAAACGCUUAAUAUAGUUAUCAUGAUGCAGGAUGAAGGCUCUAAGUCUCCAUUGAAGUGUGAUUAUGCAAGAAUGGCUCAAUAAAAUAUUUCUCUAUAUGAAUUGUAUCAGGGCAAUGUAUUUCAUAUAUUUCCUAUACCAUUGUUAGAAGGAAUAAAAAUGCAUUGAUCCUAUACAUGUAGGGAUCAAAUUAAUUAUUCCAAUAACAUGUCAAUUGGUAAAUGAUAUAUANNNNNNNNNNNNNNNNUAUAUAUAUAUAUAUAUAUAUAUAUUUAUAAAACAUUGACAUUUAUUAUAUAUAGGCUUUUGUUUUGUCAAAGUUCAUUUCUCUCGAAUAUAAAUGAUAGAGACUAAAUUUGUAAUCUCAGGAUAGAGA